UCAACCUUGAGUCGGAGAAGAGUCCUCCUUUUGGUAAAACAAAUUAAGAACCGUUUCCUCUCUCUCUCUCUCUCUCUCUCUCUCUCUCUCCUCUUCCAAUCUAAGCAAUAUCACAGCUGUAUUCACCUCUCUUUCUGUCUCUCUUGUGCUCUCUCUUUCUUUGUCUUUCUUUCUUCUUUCCUUUCUUUAAGCGCCGACACAAUUCUUCAAUUUCUUCCAUUCUGAUACUCUCUUAUUCUCUUUUAGAUCCAAUCUUUGUUUCUUGCAGUUCAAUCCCGAGUCCAAACGGAGUCAAUUUUACCAUAGAACACCGAUUUGGACUAACCCACCUGAAAAAGCUUUGAGCUUAGUCUGGAAGUUAGUUCUAACCGAGGUGGGUGUGCCUGCAAAAUCUGUACAAAGCCAGCUACAAAAUACAAAUCGCCUUGGAAUUUUCUGUCUUUGACAUUUUGGUUAAGUUGAGUCUAUUGAAGUUGGUGCUACGUAGGAAUUCGUAGAGAAAUGGUGGUUUCGUGAUAAAGGGUGAUCAGUGGAGAAUUUGUUGGUUUCUUUUAGUUAGGUACAGCCAUGGAGACGGCAGGGGCAACGACCACUCAGAGCUUGACGGACUCCUACAAAGGCAUGUCCUCUGAUAAUAUCAAAGGUUUGGUUUUGGCGCUAUCUUCAAGCAUCUUUAUUGGUGCUAGCUUCAUUGUUAAGAAGAAGGGCUUGAAAAAAGCUGGUGCUUCUGGUAUCAGGGCAGGUAGUGGAGGCUAUUCUUACUUGUACGAACCACUUUGGUGGGUUGGCAUGAUAACAAUGAUUGUUGGAGAAAUUGCUAAUUUUGCUGCUUACGCCUUUGCACCUGCUAUUUUGGUCACUCCCCUUGGCGCUCUCAGUAUUAUUAUCAGUGCGGUUCUAGCACAUAUUAUUUUGAAGGAGAAGCUACAUAUCUUUGGAAUUCUUGGUUGUGUUCUUUGUGUUGUGGGUUCUACAACUAUUGUCCUGCAUGCUCCUCAAGAACGUGAAAUUGAAUCAGUGAAAGAAGUUUGGGAUCUUGCUACAGAGCCUGCUUUUCUGUUCUAUGCAGCUUUGGUCAUAACAGCUGUAUUUGUACUGAUAUUCCACUAUAUCCCUGACUAUGGUCAGACACAUAUAAUGGUUUACAUUGGAGUUUGUUCUCUUGUUGGUUCUUUGUCGGUAAUGAGUGUUAAAGCUCUUGGAAUUGCAUUGAAGUUGACUUUGUCAGGAAUGAAUCAGCUAAUAUAUCCCCAAACAUGGGCCUUCACUUUAGUUGUAAUUACUUGUGUACUUACCCAAAUGAAUUAUUUGAACAAGGCACUGGAUACAUUCAACACUGCUGUUGUAUCUCCGAUUUACUAUGUUAUGUUCACAUCACUGACCAUUGUGGCUAGUGUAAUAAUGUUCAAGAGUCUGCUCCAUUCCAAUUUCAAAUAACCAUGCUAUUACUGGCUCUUAUUUCAUCUUGAUCAUCAAUAACCAACAUUGAAGUUCAAUUGUUUCAUAGGAUUGGGAUAGGCAGAGUCCAACUCAGAUUGUUACAGAAAUGUGUGGGUUUGUGACUAUCCUAUCAGGAACCUUUCUUCUUCAUAAAACAAAGGAUAUGGCUGAUGGGUCAAUGUCUCUGCCUGUAAGACUUCCUAAGCACUCAGAAGAGGAUGGCUAUGGUGCCGAAGGCAUCCCUCUUAGGCGUCAGGAGUCAUUAAGACCAUCGCAAAUUUGAACACCCAUCAGCUUUCUACAGACUUGAUAUUUUGGGGACGCACUACCUGACGUCAACCUGUAGUUUAUGAAAGUACCCCCAUCAGUUUCUUUUCGGGAUACAGUCAGGGAAGGGAAGGUGAGAUUUUCCCCUUCCGCGUUUCUUUUUGGCUUCACCAUGAGUCUAGCAUUAGCUGUUGCCUUGUAUACACUCCCCAAUUCAUACGGAAAGAGUUGGCCAAUGUAAUUUUGAGCACAUUGGUAAUAUAUAGUGCAUCUUUAUUCCAUUUAUCACGAAUUGGUGAGUUAACAAAAUGUUUCCCUUCCUAUUUUAUUUAUAUUGCAAGAAAAAUAUACGUACAAGCUUUUCAUUCUU
This is a non-coding RNA of Jatropha curcas, 2077 nucleotides long. NCBI's taxonomy places the organism in Eukaryota, Viridiplantae, Streptophyta, Magnoliopsida, Malpighiales, Euphorbiaceae. The record is from RefSeq and is a predicted model, not a curated record.